ACCCUUGUGGAGGAGGACGCCGAAGGUGGGGCUAAUGACUGGGGUGAAGUCGUAACAAGGUAGCCGUACCGGAAGGUGCGGCUGGAUCACCUCCUAACAGGGAGACAACAAAAUGUUUAAUAUUAUUUUGUCACCUUAGGUCGAUCGGUAUCUCACAUUCUUAAAUCUAUUAAGAAUUUCAUUUCCUAAGUUUUUCUAGGUCACACCCAUUAUUUUUCCUGGGCCAUUAGCUCAGGUGGUUAGAGCGCACCCCUGAUAAGGGUGAGGUCCCUGGUUCAAGUCCAGGAUGGCCCAUAUCUCUAUGUUGGGGGUAUAGCUCAGUUGGUAGAGCGCCUGCUUUGCAAGCAGGAUGUCAGCGGUUCGAGUCCGCUUACCUCCACUGAUUACCACCUCUUCCAUAAUCUAAGGAAAUGUUUUGAGUUGUGAUCAAAUUCUGAACGAAUCUAGCUUCCUAAUGAAAUCAUUAAGAUGCUGGACUCAUUGAAUUAAUUUCAUUGUUUUCAGAGAACCUUGACAACUGCAUAGAUUAUUUUUAAAGACAAUAAGCAUCUUUAAUGAUGCAGAUUUAUUAUUUGUGCGAAUGCAUUAAUAACAAUUCUAUUAAGCUGAUGCUUCAAUUUUGAAGUUAUUGGUCAAGCUACAAAGGGCUCACGGAGGAUACCUAGGCACACAGAGGC
This 677-nucleotide unclassified non-coding RNA is filed under the name uncultured Prochlorococcus sp. RNAcentral's name for it is "partial may contain 16S ribosomal RNA, 16S-23S ribosomal RNA intergenic spacer, and 23S ribosomal RNA". The stretch from base 1 to 97 matches the Rfam family "Bacterial small subunit ribosomal RNA", at positions 1437 to 1533 of the family's 1533-position model. Lineage: Bacteria; Bacillati; Cyanobacteriota; Cyanophyceae; Synechococcales; Prochlorococcaceae. The record is from RNAcentral.